This 386-nucleotide ribosomal RNA is filed under the name uncultured bacterium. RNAcentral describes it as "bacterial SSU rRNA". It matches the Rfam family "Bacterial small subunit ribosomal RNA", at positions 29 to 414 of the family's 1533-position model. The record is from RNAcentral.
AUUGAACGCUGGCGGAAUGCUUUACACAUGCAAGUCGAGCGGCAGCGCGGGGGCAACCCUGGCGGCGAGCGGCGAACGGGUGAGUAAUACAUCGGAACGUGUCCUUGAGUGGGGAUAGCUCGGCGAAAGCCGGAUUAAUACCGCAUAAGCUCUGCGGAGGAAAGCGGGGACGUGUAACGGCCUCGCGCUGUUGGAGCGGCCGAUGUCGGAUUAGCUAGUUGGNGGGUAAAGGCCGACCAAGGCGACGAUCCGUAGCUGGUCUGAGAGGAUGAUCAGCCACACUGGAACUGAGACACGGUCCAGACUCCUACGGGAGGCAGCAAGUGGGGAAUUUUGGACAAGUGGGGGCCAACCCUGAUCCAGCCAUUCCGCGUGAGUGAAGAAGG